RNAcentral lists this ribosomal RNA (301 nucleotides) under uncultured bacterium. Its description in RNAcentral is "partial 16S ribosomal RNA". It matches the Rfam family "Bacterial small subunit ribosomal RNA", at positions 509 to 809 of the family's 1533-position model. The record is from RNAcentral.
CAGCAGCCGCGGGAAUACAGAGGGUGCGAGCGUUAAUCGGAUUUACUGGGCGUAAAGCGUGCGUAGGCGGCUUCUUAAGUCGGAUGUGAAAUCCCUGAGCUUAACUUAGGAAUUGCAUUCGAUACUGGGAAGCUAGAGUAUGGGAGAGGAUGGUAGAAUUCCAGGUGUAGCGGUGAAAUGCGUAGAGAUGUGGAGGAAUACCGAUGGCGAAGGCAGCCCCCUGGGCCAAUACUGACGCUCAUGCACGAAAGCGUGGGGAGCAAACAGGAUUAGAUACCCCCGUAGUCCCUGUCUCUUAUAA